GGCAUCAUACUGACACUGAGGCUCGAAAGCGUGGGUAGCAAACAGGAUUAGAUACCCUGGUAGUCCACGCCGUAAACGAUGUCUACUAGUCGUUGGGGAACUUGAUUCCUUAGUGACGCAGCUAACGCAAUAAGUAGACCGCCUGGGGAGUACGGCCGCAAGGUUAAAACUCAAAUGAAUUGACGGGGGCCCGCACNAGCGGUGGAGCAUGUGGUUUAAUUCGAUGCAACGCGAAGAACCUUACCUGGUCUUGACAUAUCUAGAAUCCUGCAGAGAUGCGGGAGUGCCUUCGGGAAUUAGAAUACAGGUGCUGCAUGGCUGUCGUCAGCUCGUGUCGUGAGAUGUUGGGUUAAGUCCCGCAACGAGCGCAACCCUUGUCCUUAGUUACCAGCGGGUUAAGCCGGGAACUCUAAGGAUACUGCCAGUGACAAACUGGAGGAAGGCGGGGACGACGUCAAGUCAUCAUGGCCCUUACGACCAGGGCUACACACGUGCUACAAUGGUAGGUACAGAGGGCAGCUACACAGCGAUGUGAUGCGAAUCUCAAAAAGCCUAUCGUAGUCCAGAUUGGAGUCUGCAACUCGACUCCAUGAAGUAGGAAUCGCUAGUAAUCGCGGAUCAGAAUGCCGCGGUGAAUACGUUCCCGGGCCUUGUACACACCGCCCGUCACACCAUGGGAGUUGAUUGCACCAGAAGUGGUUAGCCGA
Molecule: ribosomal RNA, 707 nt
Filed under: Psychrobacter celer
Lineage: Bacteria; Pseudomonadati; Pseudomonadota; Gammaproteobacteria; Moraxellales; Moraxellaceae
Description: bacterial SSU rRNA
Rfam family: Bacterial small subunit ribosomal RNA
Source: RNAcentral